Molecule: long non-coding RNA, 1061 nt
Filed under: Pan troglodytes (chimpanzee)
Lineage: Eukaryota; Metazoa; Chordata; Mammalia; Primates; Hominidae
Description: lincRNA
Source: RNAcentral
GUAUGGGGAAAGUUUAAGGCGGAAGGGCCCUCGUUUGUCGGCUGCUUGGGAAGUCUGAGGAUUACUGGGACUAACAGGACUUCAGCUGGGGCUUCAUCGUGUGGUGUGGGCUUCCUGACAGCACGGCCACUGGUUUCCAAGAGUUUCAACAAUAUUUUCAUCAUAUUUAUUGAAGCCCUCACUGACAGACUUCUCAAGGCCCCUCUACCUUCUAUUUGCUGCCUGGCCCCAAAGCCAGUGCCGCACAUUUUAGGUUUUUAACUGCAGCAGCACCUAUGAUGUUUCCAAAAUCUGUAUCAUUAAAGUUUGAUCAGAGAAGCAAAACCACCUUGAGCAAAACAAGGAAUUUAUUAAAGAGAUUAGGAUACACAUUGUUAUGAAAGCUGCAACCUGCUGCCCCUGUGUCCAGAAGUGGGCCUGAAGUCAGCAGGGCUGGCAAAUGGAUGUGCAGUGGGAGAGGGUAGGCGUGUGCACCCAUCCUGCAGGGAGGAGAUGGAACUCCUGUGGAUGGACUGAAACUGAUGUCUUCCACGUCAGCCUCUCAGGCCUCCAACACUCCAGCUCUGAUGAUGAAGAUGACCUGCAGAGGAGCUGGUGCCCUUCACCAUGGAAUUGCUCAUAAACCCAAGAUUCAGUGAAGCUGAAGAAACAGUUCCGGUGGGAGCUGGAGGAACUGCAGGCACAGCUGCUGCCCUGUACCAAUACAUUGAGCCAGUGGCUGCCUGGCAUUGUGUGUGAGCCACCACAGCGCCUGGCCCUACACAGACUUUGACUGUAAAUAUGACUGCUGUUUCACUUCUGCCUUCCAAAUUUUGCUCAGAUUUUCUGAGAAACAUAGUUCAGCUUAGGUACAUUGACACAGUACAAAGCCACCGCAGUGGCUGGUUAGGGAGGGAUUAUGAAUGCAGGCUGAGAAUGCACGGGAAGCGUUUGUCUAUUUAUAGAGUAGGUACCAUUCAAGGAUUUAUGUGAAUCAGGUGCAAAGAACUCACACAAAGGUGGGGAAAGUUAGUACUUAGAAAUCAGUGAUACUAGAUAACCAAUAAAUAAAAAUAAACUUA